This is an RNA transcript of Lycium barbarum (goji berry), 2464 nucleotides long. RefSeq lists it as uncharacterized. NCBI's taxonomy places the organism in Eukaryota, Viridiplantae, Streptophyta, Magnoliopsida, Solanales, Solanaceae. The transcript has 5 exons. The record is from RefSeq and is a predicted model, not a curated record.
AAAAAAUUUACCUUCUUACCACCAAUGCCCAAACGUCCAUCAAUGCCCAGCAGAACCUUUUGUCUUCUACUCAUCUUUGGCUAACGAUUCAGCCUUCAUCAGCCAUGGCAGAAUUUUGUUCUUCCAUUUCUGGGUAAGAACUGCCACCUAUAACGUCCCCUUAUACCUUCUCUCUAAUGAGGUCAACACAAAAGGCCAAAACACCUCUGAAAUUUCUGAGAAAAAUCAACCCUAGGAGAUUCAAUUUUGAUUUCAAACAGCAAAUUCGUAUAAAAUCCAGCCCAAAACUUUGAAUCCGAAAAAAAGCCUAUUUUGUAUCUAUAAAUACUAGCAUUUGGAGUCCAUUUGGACCAAGGUUCUGGCCGCCACUCUUGCUCUCAAAAACUCUUGUUUUCUUCUCGUUUCUUACCUCCUAAAAGUUCAAUUGCUUGCUGCCAUCUUUUUUAUAUAUAUAAAAAAUACUCAAGUUCGAGGUCGGAUUGCGUAAGAUCUAAGACCCCCGCACCCCGUUCACUGCACCAUUAAAAGGUUAAUUAUGCAUAUUAGAAUAGUGUUGAGUUGGUCAAGUUAAGGCAGUGAUUAAUGAGAGCUAUUAUACUAAAAAAUUGGAAGAAAAGGCCAUAUCAGUAUUGCCCCAAAAUGGAGACGCGAUGUUUUGCAAGAAAGCUACAGCCGCCUAAAAGGGAAAAGGAGUGGCUGGUGAGGCCACUGGCUGUGCUUAGCGAGUUACCAGGGCUCGGGGCUAGUCCCAGAGUGAGAGCCCAUCUCAGAUUUCGCAUACCCUGCCUCCCGCACCUGCUCCAAAUCCUCAGCUAGAUGCACCGGCCCAGGAUAUGCGAGAUGCUAUGCAGUUAUUGACCAGAUUGAUAGCCGCUCAGGCACAACGUCAGGGAGUUGGUAUUGAUCAGGUAGAACGAGCUGGUAGUGUGAGGGUUAAGAGUUUCCUCAAGUUAGAUCCUCCAGAGUUUUUCGUGUUGAAGCAAAAUAUGGAUCCUCAGGACUUUAUUGAAAUUAUGCAGAGGACUUUGGGAGUUAUGCACGCCUAUGAGGUCGAGUCAGUGGAGCAAGCAUCUUAUAGGCUCCGUGAUGUUGCGGUGCAGUGGUAGCAGACAUGGGGGCUAUCUAGGGAAGAGAAUGCCCCUCCAGCCGUUUGGCGAGAGUUUUCAGAUGCUUUUAUUCGUCAUUAUUUACCACCAGAAGUCCGACGGACUCGAGCAGAUAAUUUCUUGUAUAUUGAGCAGGGCAGCAUAUGUGUUCAGCAGUACAGUGUACACUUCGAUUCAUUGGCUAGAUAUGCCCCAGCUAUUGUGGCUGAGAUGGAAGAUCGAGUUCAUUGUUUCAUGGCUGGUCUAGGGCCACAUUUGAUAGAUGAAUGUACUACAGCUGCGUUACAGCCGGGGAUGGAUAUUUCCCGUAUACAGGCAUAUGCACAGAAUCUGGAAGAUCGUAACCUUCAAUGGAGUACCGAGCGUGAGCGUAACCGGAGCCAUGAUAAAAGGGCUAGGUCUUUAGAUAUUGCUGGUGAGUUCAGGGGAAGACAGAGACAGCCGCAUUCCCGGUAUUCAUUUCAUUUAGCAGGGGGUGCAUCUUCGUGGUUUCCAGGCCCUAGAUUUGAUCGGUCUUCUUAUUCCGGAGCGGGUCAGAGUUCCAAAGCUUCAGGUUCUCAGCUUAGACGGAAGUCAGGUCAGAGGAGACCACCGGUACCGCGGUGUAUUCAAUGUGGUAGAUUACACUCUAGACGGUGUCGACUGGAUAAUAUGCUUGUUAUGCCUGUGGCCAGCCAGGUCAUGUGAUGACAGUGUCCCAUUGAGGGGUGGUGUAGGUAUUAUUCAGCCUACCGGCUCCGUAGCUGGUUCUUCUUCAACAGUACGCCCUUCAGGGCAAGAUUCUCAGACACCAGUAGGGCGUUUUAGAGAGAGGAGUGGAGCAUCUAGUUCGAGCGAUUUAUGCAUUACCUGGUAGAUAGGAUCGCGAGACGUCUCCUGAUGUUGUUACAGGUGUAACAGCAUCGAUUGGUCUCAAGAACCAGCAUACAACGACAAAGCCCUGUCAGAUUCAUUUGAUGUUGUGUGUGUUGAUAAUCUGCCACAACAGAGACAUGGGAGCAAGGAUUGUGGGGUGUAUGUGGUAGCGUAUGCGGAGUAUUUGAGCUGGGGUGUUGGUAUUCCGAUCGAAGACUUUGACGCUAAUUUACUUCGUACGAGAUAUGGUGCACUUCUUUGGAGCUAUGCUAUGCGGAAGCAAGAAGACGAGGCGAUAAGUGAUAACGAAGCACCACCAAAGCUAGUUAGGCCAAACAUACAUUCUGAUAUAUGUGAAAAAAUCAUCAUUAAUUAGUUUUACGCAUUUCAUACUGUUGUACUAUAGUUGACAAAAAUAAAAUGAAUACAAAUUAUUGUACCUCUGAAUCCAUUUGAAUCCCAAAGUAUCACAUCCAAAUUGUAUGCCUUCCUGUUGUAUGCCA